Molecule: long non-coding RNA, 645 nt
Organism: Mytilus californianus (California mussel)
Lineage: Eukaryota; Metazoa; Mollusca; Bivalvia; Mytilida; Mytilidae
Exons: 6
Source: RefSeq, a predicted model, not a curated record
CUAGGUAGUAUCUUGUAGGUACGGUCUAGGUAGUAUCUUGUAGGCAUGGUCUAGGUAGUAUCUUGUAGGUACGGUCUAGGUAGUAUCUUGUAGGUACAGUCUAGGUAGUAUCUUGUAGGUACGGUCUAGGUAGUAUCAUGUAGGUACGGUCUAGGUAGUAUCUUGUAGGUACAGUCUAGGUAGUAUCUUGUAGGUACUGUCUAGGUAGUAUCUUGUAGGUACGGUCUAGGUAGUAUCUUGUAGGCACGGUCUAGGUAAUAUCUUGUAGGUACGGUCUAGGUAGUAUCUUGUAGGUACGGUCUAGGUAGUAUCUUGUAGGUACGGUCUAGGUAGUAUCUUGUAGGCACAGUCUAGGUAGUAUCUUGUAGGUACAGUCUAGGUAGUAUCUUGUAGGUACUGUCUAGGUAGUAUCUUGUAGGUACAGUCUAGGUAGUAUCUUGUAGGUACAGUCUAGGUAUUGUCUUGUAGGUACAGUCUAGGUAGUAUCUUGUAGGCACGGUCUAGGUAAUAUCUUGUAGGUACGGUCUAGGUAGUAUCUUGUAGGUACUGUCUAGUUAGUUAUGCAAUGCUUUAUUUAUUUUGCAACUGUAAUGUUGUGGAUAUAUGUGUUGACAAAUUGAAAGGGAAUAAAUAUUUUUCUGCAAA